Molecule: transfer RNA, 22 nt
Filed under: Mus terricolor (Earth-colored mouse)
Lineage: Eukaryota; Metazoa; Chordata; Mammalia; Rodentia; Muridae
Description: partial tRNA-Thr
Source: RNAcentral
UGGUACUUCCUCUUUCUCAGAA